GGCCCAUUAGCUUGUGGUGAGGUAACGGCUCACCCAAAGGCUUCGAUGGGUAGCUGGUCUGAGAGGACGAUCAGCCACACUGGGACUGAGACACGGCCCAGACUCCUACGGGAGGCAGCAGUGGGGAAUCUUGCACAAUGCGCGAAAGCGUGAUGCAGCAACGCCGCGUGGGGAAGACGGCCUUCGGGUUGUAAACCCCUUUCAGUUGGGACGAAGCUUCGUCGGUGAAUAGCCGGUUGGAGUGACGGUACCUUCAGAAGAAGCCCCCGGCUAACUACGUG
RNAcentral lists this ribosomal RNA (281 nucleotides) under uncultured bacterium. RNAcentral describes it as "partial 16S ribosomal RNA". It matches the Rfam family "Bacterial small subunit ribosomal RNA", at positions 235 to 507 of the family's 1533-position model. The record is from RNAcentral.